GUCGAAGGGCAUCGCGGGGGAGUGCUUGCACUCCCUGGCGGCGACUGGCGCACGGGUGAGUAACACGUAUGCAACCUGCCCUCCACAGGGGGACAACCUUCCGAAAGGGAGGCUAAUCCCGCGUAAAUCUCCAGAGGGCAUCCUUUGGAGAGGAAAGCUUCUGCGGUGGAGGAUGGGCAUGCGGCGCAUUAGCUUGUCGGCGGGGUAACGGCCCACCGAGGCGACGAUGCGUAGGGGUUCUGAGAGGAAGGUCCCCCACACUGGUACUGAGACACGGACCAGACUCCUACGGGAGGCAGCAGUGAGGAAUAUUGGUCAAUGGGCGGGAGCCUGAACCAGCCAAGCCGCGUGAGGGAAUAAGGCCCUAUGGGUCGUAAACCUCUUUUGUCGGGGAACAAAAGCGGGGACGUGUCCCCGUCUGCGUGUACCCGAAGAAAAAGCAUCGGCUAACUCCGUGCCAGCAGCCGCGGUAAUACGGAGGAUGCGAGCGUUAUCCGGAUUUAUUGGGUUUAAAGGGUGCGUAGGCGGUAUGGUAAGUCAGCGGUAAAAGCCCGGGGCUCAACCCCGGCGAGCCGUUGAAACUUCCGUGCUAGAGAGGAAGAGAAGUAGGCGGAAUGCGCAGUGUAGCGGUGAAAUGCUUAGAUAUUGCGCAGAACUCCGUUUGCGAAGGCAGCCUACCGGCUUCUGUCUGACGCUGAGGCACGAAAGCGU
This 711-nucleotide ribosomal RNA is filed under the name uncultured bacterium. RNAcentral describes it as "bacterial SSU rRNA". It matches the Rfam family "Bacterial small subunit ribosomal RNA", at positions 61 to 762 of the family's 1533-position model. The record is from RNAcentral.